UACGUAGGGGGCAAGCGUUGUCCGGAAUCAUUGGGCGUAAAGAGCGUGUAGGCGGCUCGGUAAGUCCGCUCUGAAAGCCUGGGGCUCAACCUUGGGAGGCGGGCGGAUACUGUCGGGCUAGAGUCCGGAAGAGGCGAGUGGAAUUCCUGGUGUAGCGGUGAAAUGCGCAGAUAUCAGGAGGAACACCAAUGGCGAAGGCAGCUCGCUGGGACGGUACUGACGCUGAGACGCGAAAGCGUGGGGAGCAAACAGG
This 253-nucleotide ribosomal RNA is filed under the name uncultured bacterium. Its description in RNAcentral is "partial 16S ribosomal RNA". It matches the Rfam family "Bacterial small subunit ribosomal RNA", at positions 524 to 776 of the family's 1533-position model. The record is from RNAcentral.